GCGCGAAAACUUUGCAAUGCGGGAAACCGUGACAAGGGAACUCUGAGUGCCCGUAAAAUCGGGCUGUCCAUCAGUUUAAAAAACUGGUGAAGAAAGGGCCGGGCAAGACCGGUGCCAGCCGCCGCGGUAAUACCGGCGGCUCGAGUGGUGGCCACUAUUACUGGGCUUAAAGCGUUCGUAGCUGGUUUGUUAAGUCUCUGGGGAAAUCUUCCGGCUCAACCGGAAGGCGUCUCAGGGAUACUGGCAGACUAGGGACCGGAAGAGGUGAGAGGUACUCCAGGGGUAGGAGUGAAAUCCUGUAAUCCUUGGGGGACCACCUGUGGCGAAGGCGUCUCACCAGGACGGCUCCGACAGUGAGGGACGAAAGCUGGGGGAGCAAACCGGAUUAGAUACCCGGGUAGUCCCAGCCGUAAACGAUGUGCGUUAGGUGUAUCGGUGACCACGAGUCACCGAGGUGCCGAAGAGAAAUCGUGAAACGUCGACCUGGAAGUACGGUCGCAAGGACUGAAACUUAAAGGAAGUUGGUCGGGGGAGGCGACCACGAACCAGGUGGAGCCGUGCGGUUUAACG
RNAcentral lists this ribosomal RNA (570 nucleotides) under uncultured Methanomicrobiales archaeon. RNAcentral's name for it is "bacterial SSU rRNA". It matches the Rfam family "Archaeal small subunit ribosomal RNA", at positions 339 to 907 of the family's 1478-position model. The record is from RNAcentral. Lineage: Archaea; Methanobacteriati; Methanobacteriota; Methanomicrobia; Methanomicrobiales.